This is a long non-coding RNA of Panicum virgatum (switchgrass), 1153 nucleotides long. RefSeq lists it as uncharacterized. The transcript is spliced from 3 exons. The record is from RefSeq and is a predicted model, not a curated record. NCBI's taxonomy places the organism in Eukaryota, Viridiplantae, Streptophyta, Magnoliopsida, Poales, Poaceae.
GGUUUUCGGGUUUCGGGUUCGGUUUUUGGUUUUCACCUGCGGAUUUGCGGGUUCGGGUACCCGAAAUAUUUCGGGUUUGGGGCGGAUCUUUAAAUACAUCCGCGGAGCUCCAUCGGGUACCCGAAAAUUUGAGCCCACAGCCCAAUAACAGCCCAUUUUAGAACCCUAACUAUAUAACCCCCUCCCCUUCUGGAUCCCCCCGACCCCGACGGCCGUCACUCAGUCCUCACCCCGACCCCCCUCCCUCCCGGAUCCAGAUCCCCCCGAGUCCCCGUCCCCGACGGGCGACGGCCGACGGCCGCCAGGCCAAACGCGGCGACGGCGCGAUGCCCCGACUGGCGACUCCUCUGGCCCCGUGACGCACCCAUCCCCUCCCGCGGCCCACGUCGCACCCAUCCCCAUCCAGCCACCAGCCCUGCUACCCACGACGGAGGCCGGCGGCCGGAGUUCGACGCCGCCGCCCACCAGCGCUGAUUGGCCCCGCUCACUUGGGUGCGGGUUGGGCGUGGGUCUUGACCCGACGUGGAUGACCGCGAGUCGACUCGUGACCUGACUCCUCGCGAGUCCUUCGUUGUCGCCGCCGCAGGGAGGCUUCGGCUCCGCCACCUCCGCCGUCCGCCGUGCUCCUCCUCCGGUCCUCGAGGGACUCAGAUCCAGAUCUGCGGGGAUGGGAAUCGAGCAGAGCAGCGACCGCUGCAGCUGAGUGCGGUCUCUUUCUUCAGAAGCGAGGUCUCAACAACAGCUCAAGAUCCAGCAGAAGGAAGUGAGCAAUGUCGGCUGUUGGUUCUCAAGCUGCUGCUGCAUCUCAAUCUGUUGGUUCUCGUCCUCAAUCUCGUCCACGCCUUGCAGCCAAUUCAGCAACAGCAACACAACCAUCCAAUUCAGCAACACCGGCAAGUGAUUCUGCAACUGUAGGUAAUCUUGAUGUGGUAGAGGUAGAAGUAGAAGAUGAUGCCCCUGCUGCUAAAAAGAGAAAGCUAAGAUCUGAAGUGUCUCUGUUUCUGACUUUCUGUGUUGGUAGCUGGUGGCCUUAAUAGUUUGUCUCUGAGAUCUGUAGAUGAUAUUUUCUGCUUCUCAUCUGCAAUGCCUAUAUUUCAGUGUGCUUGGAAUAAUGAAUGACCUUGGAAUAAUGAAAUGGUGUUGCUGGCUUGCA